This 251-nucleotide ribosomal RNA is filed under the name uncultured prokaryote. RNAcentral describes it as "partial 16S rRNA". It matches the Rfam family "Bacterial small subunit ribosomal RNA", at positions 525 to 775 of the family's 1533-position model. The record is from RNAcentral.
ACGUAGGUGGCUAGCGUUAUCCGGAUUUACUGGGCGUAAAGCGCGCGUAGGCGGCCUUUUAAGUCAGGUGUAAAAUCUCCCGGCUCAACCGGGAGGGGCCAUCGGAUACUGCAAGGCUAGAGUGCAGAAGAGGAAAGCGGAAUUCCCUGUGUAGUGGUGGAAUGCGUAGAGAUCGGGAGGAACACCAGUGGCGAAGGCGACUUUCUGGGCUGUAACUGACGCUGAUGCGCGAAAGCGUGGGGAUCAAACAG